RNAcentral lists this ribosomal RNA (263 nucleotides) under uncultured bacterium. Its description in RNAcentral is "partial 16S ribosomal RNA". It matches the Rfam family "Bacterial small subunit ribosomal RNA", at positions 793 to 1055 of the family's 1533-position model. The record is from RNAcentral.
GUCCACGCCGUAAACGGUGGGUGCUAGGUGUGAGCGGUAUUCCACGCCGUUCGUGCCGCAGCUAACGCAUUAAGCACCCCGCCUGGGGAGUACGGCCGCAAGGCUAAAACUCAAAGGAAUUGACGGGGGCCCCGCACAAGCAGCGGAGCAUGUGGCUUAAUUCGACGCAACGCGAAGAACCUUACCAAGGCUUGACAUGCAGGGAAAUCCUCCAGAGAUGGGGGGUCCGCAAGGGUCCUGCACAGGUGGUGCAUGGUUGUCGU